This 253-nucleotide ribosomal RNA is filed under the name uncultured bacterium. RNAcentral's name for it is "partial 16S ribosomal RNA". It matches the Rfam family "Bacterial small subunit ribosomal RNA", at positions 524 to 776 of the family's 1533-position model. The record is from RNAcentral.
UACGGCGGGUGCGAGCGUUGUCCGGAAUCAUUGGGCGUAAAGGGCGCGUAGGUGGCCCGGUCAGCGUGCGGUGAAAGCUCGGGGCUCAACCCCGAGUCGGCCGUGCGAACUGCUGGGCUUGAGCACUGUAGAGGCAGGCGGAAUUCCCGGUGUAGAGGUGAAAUUCGUAGAUAUCGGGAGGAACACCGGUGGCGAAGGCGGCGACCUGGGUCGACACUGACGCUGAGGCGCGAAAGCGUGGGGAGCAAACAGG